UAGAAACACUGUUGAGUAACAGUCUUCAGC
RNAcentral lists this non-coding RNA (30 nucleotides) under Mus musculus (house mouse). Lineage: Eukaryota; Metazoa; Chordata; Mammalia; Rodentia; Muridae. The record is from RNAcentral.